GAUGAGAACGCAGCGAAAUGCGAUACGUAAUGUGAAUUGCAAAUUCAGUGAAUCAUCGAGUCUUUGAACGCACAUUGCGCCCCCUGGUAUUCCGGGGGGCAUGCCUGUCCGAGCGUCAUUGCUGCCCUCAAGCACGGCUUGUGUGUUGGGCCCCGUCCUCCGAUUCCGGGGGACGGGCCCGAAAGGCAGCGGCGGCACCGCGUCCGGUCCUCGAGCGUAUGGGGCUUUGUCACCCGCUCUGUAGGCCCGGCCGGCGCUUGCCGAUCAACCCAAAUUUUUAUCCAGGUUGACCUCGGAUCAGGUAGGGAUACCCGCUGAACUUAAGCAUAUCAAUAAGCGGAGGA
This 344-nucleotide unclassified non-coding RNA is filed under the name soil metagenome. Its description in RNAcentral is "partial contains 5.8S ribosomal RNA, internal transcribed spacer 2, and large subunit ribosomal RNA". The stretch from base 5 to 118 matches the Rfam family "5.8S ribosomal RNA", at positions 40 to 154 of the family's 154-position model. The record is from RNAcentral.